UACGGGGGGGGCAAGCGUUGUUCGGAAUUACUGGGCGUAAAGGGCGCGUAGGCGGCCUGUUAAGUCGAACGUGAAAUCCCCGGGCUCAACCCGGGAACUGCGUCCGAUACUGGCAGGCUUGAAUCCGGGAGAGGGAUGUGGAAUUCCAGGUGUAGCGGUGAAAUGCGUAGAUAUCUGAAGGAACAUCAGUGGCGAAAGCGACUUCCUGGACCAAUACUGACGCUCAUGUGCGAAAGCGUGGGGAGCAAACAGG
This 253-nucleotide ribosomal RNA is filed under the name uncultured bacterium. RNAcentral's name for it is "partial 16S ribosomal RNA". It matches the Rfam family "Bacterial small subunit ribosomal RNA", at positions 524 to 776 of the family's 1533-position model. The record is from RNAcentral.